AUGAUUGAGACAGUUUCCUACUUUAAUGAUCAGCAAAAAGAGGAUCCAGAUUUCUUUGCAAGAUUAAGUGAUGAGGAGGACAGGGUUGAGAAUAUUUUCUGGGUUGACGAUGCAGGAAGGAGGGCUUAUGUAGAGGCAUACCACGACCGCAUAUCCUUUGACACCACGUACAUGACUAACAUGUGUAACAUGCCCUUUGCACCAUUCAUUGGAAUUCAUCGACAUGGGCAAUCAUUCAUGGUGGGGUGCGGUUUUGUGAGGCAAGAGUUGGCUACAAGCUUUGAUUGGCUAUUUGGGACCUUUCUUGAGGCGAUGCAUGGUUUAGCACCAACAAACAUCAUUACUGACCAGGACAUCGCGAUGGCACAUUCGAUUAAAAGGAUGUUCCCAACAAGUAUUUGA
RNAcentral lists this ribosomal RNA (402 nucleotides) under Triticum aestivum (bread wheat). Its description in RNAcentral is "partial small subunit ribosomal RNA". Lineage: Eukaryota; Viridiplantae; Streptophyta; Magnoliopsida; Poales; Poaceae. The record is from RNAcentral.